This 318-nucleotide ribosomal RNA is filed under the name uncultured Planctomycetota bacterium. RNAcentral describes it as "bacterial SSU rRNA". It matches the Rfam family "Bacterial small subunit ribosomal RNA", at positions 29 to 351 of the family's 1533-position model. Lineage: Bacteria; Pseudomonadati; Planctomycetota. The record is from RNAcentral.
AAUGAACGUUGGCGGCAUGGAUUAGGCAUGCAAGUCGAGCGAGAAGGGUUUGGUAGCUUGCUAUUGAACCUGGACAGCGGCGAAAGGGAGAGUAACGCGUAGUUACCUGCCCCAGGGUCCGGAAUAGCCACGGGAAACUGUGGGUAAUGCCGGAUAACAUCUUCGGAUCAAAGGUGUGAUUCCGCCCUGGGAGGGGACUGCGUCCUACUAGCUUGUUGGCGGGGUAAUGGCCCACCAAGGCGACGAUGGGUAGCGGGUGUGAGAGCAUGACCCGUCUCACUGGGACUGAGACACUGCCCAGACACCUACGGGUGGCUG